RNAcentral lists this ribosomal RNA (777 nucleotides) under uncultured Archaeoglobus sp. RNAcentral's name for it is "bacterial SSU rRNA". It matches the Rfam family "Archaeal small subunit ribosomal RNA", at positions 102 to 859 of the family's 1478-position model. The record is from RNAcentral. Lineage: Archaea; Methanobacteriati; Methanobacteriota; Archaeoglobi; Archaeoglobales; Archaeoglobaceae.
GGCCAACCUACCCUCGGGAGGGGGAUAACCCCGGGAAACUGGGGCUAAACCCCCAUAGGGGAUGGGUGGUGGAAUUCCCCCAUCCCCGAAAGUGCACCGUUCCCGUAAGGGGCGGUGCAGCCCGAGGAUGGGGCUGCGGCGGAUUAGGUAGUUGGCGGGGUAACGGCCCGCCAAGCCGAAGAUCCGUACGGGCCAUGAGAGUGGGAGCCCGGAGAUGGACCCUGAGACACGGGUCCAGGCCCUACGGGGCGCAGCAGGCGCGAAACCUCCGCAAUGCGGGAAACCGCGACGGGGUCAGCCGGAGUGCUCGCGCAUCGCGCGGGCUGUCGGGGUGCCUAAAAAGCACCCCAUAGCAAGGGCCGGGCAAGGCCGGUGGCAGCCGCCGCGGUAAUACCGGCGGCCCGAGUGGCGGCCACUUUUAUUGGGCCUAAAGCGUCCGUAGCCGGGCUGGUAAGUCCUCCGGGAAAUCUGGUCGCUUAACGAUCAGACUGCCGGAGGAUACUGCCAGCCUAGGGACCGGGAGAGGCCGGGGGUAUUCCCGGGGUAGGGGUGAAAUCCUGUAAUCCCGGGAGGACCACCUGUGGCGAAGGCGCCCGGCUGGAACGGGUCCGACGGUGAGGGACGAAGGCCAGGGGAGCGAACCGGAUUAGAUACCCGGGUAGUCCUGGCUGUAAACGAUGCGGACUAGGUGUCACCGAAGCUACGAGCUUCGGUGGUGCCGGAGGGAAGCCGUUAAGUCCGCCGCCUGGGGAGUACGGCCGCAAGGCUGAAACUUAA